RNAcentral lists this long non-coding RNA (1908 nucleotides) under Mus musculus (house mouse). Its description in RNAcentral is "RIKEN cDNA 1700048O20 gene (1700048O20Rik)". Lineage: Eukaryota; Metazoa; Chordata; Mammalia; Rodentia; Muridae. The record is from RNAcentral.
GUUAGGAUGAGAGGUCCUUCCUGGCUGCAGGUGGCUUUGGUUGAGGUCGCUUUGUCAAGAAGCCUGACUCUCGCUAGACCACGCACAGCGCGAUCAAGAUUAUGGGGUCCUCCAAGAUUCCUAGAGAGACUCACAGAGGAUUGGCCGGUCGGUGAGAUGAUGUAUUUCCGGGCCAGGAAUCUUUAAAACCUGAGAGCGUGGAUGGUGAGAGGCCGUUAGAAUCCCUCCGUAGGUCCUGAAAAAUCUAAGCCUGCAUUUGCUACAGAACUGAAAGAUUUGAUCAUGGAAGAUAUCACCAUAAAAGCAGAGCCUCAGGAACCAGUGAUAUUUGAAGAUGAGGCUGUGUACUUCACGGAGCAGGAAUUGGCCAGCUUGACACUUGAUCAGAAGGCCCUGCACGAGGAAGUGGUGCUUGAGAACUUUGCACAUGUGGCUUUGCUGGGUUGCUAUGAUAUGUUUGAAGAAAUGGGCCUUGGAGCUGGAGAGAUAACUUAGCAGUUAAGACAACUGGCUGUUGUCUUAGUUUAAUAUUGCUACGAAGAGACACCUUUAUAAAAGAAAGCAUCUAAUUGGGAUCUUGCUUUCAGCAGGGGUCCAUGAUCAUCAUAGUAAGGAGUGUGGCUGCAGGAGGAGGCAUGGUGGUAGAACAGUAGCUAUGAGCUUGCAUCCUUGUGUGAAAGCAUGAGGCAGAGGGGAAGAGAGGAAGAGCAGACAGAGAAAUGACCUUGAGGCUCAUCCCCAAUGACACCCCUUCCAACAAGGCCACACCCUUCCAAAACAGUUCUGAUAACUCAGGACCAAGUACCACACUGCUCUUGCUCAGAACCCAAGUUUUGGUUUCCAGCACCCAUAUCAGGUAGCUCAUAACUGCCUAUAAUUCCAAUUCCUGGGAAUCUGACACCCUUUUGGGGAUUUAUGCACCAUGUGUAUAAAAAUAAACCUUAAGAAAUGGGCCUUAUAGAAGGCCUUGUCUUCACCUCAUAGGCUGAGAAUCUGGUUAUUUUACUUCAGGCACUAACCCGGAUCUGUUCUUCAGCUGUGUUCUUUCUCUUCCUCCAUUGUCUGCAAAAUCUCCUAUUGUAGCAGGGACACUUAGAACCAUUAACCAGAUGGGAGCCAUAUUUUGGUGAUUUUAAAAGUGUGUCAUCAAGAAAAAAAUUUCCCUUGUCUUCUGGGGCAACAUGAAGUAAAAGUAUUUCAAUAACUGAGGCCUCUUCGCCCUCCCCUCAGGAUUUCCCGUCUCUUGUCUCUGUCACUCGUCUCCUAGUCUGUCUCUGUCUCUUGUCUCCUUGUCGUCUGUCUCUGUCACUCGUCUCCUAGUCUGUCUCUGUCACUUGUCUCCUUGUCUGUUUUGAAGUCGCCUGACCAGAUUUAUGGGGGUGUUGAAUUCCAGUGGAACGAACUUUAUCAAAUCAAAUCCAUAGUGAAAAUCAAUCAAUAUGUAACUGGUGAGCUUUCAAAUGCUUCUUCAUGCAUCUUUAGGCUUGGUUAACUAGCCUACUGUACUGGCUGGUUUUGUGGGUCAACUUGACACAAGCUGGAAUUAUCACAGAGAAAGGAGCCUCCCUUGAGGAAAUGCCCCCAUGAGAUCCAACUGUAACACAUUUUUUUUCAAUUAGUGAUCAAGGAGGGAGGGCCCAUUGUGGGUGGUGCCAUCCCUGGGCUGGUAGUCCUGGGUUCUAUAAGAGAGCAGGCUGAGCAAGCCAAGGAAGCAAGCCAGUAAAGAACAUCCCUCCAUGGCCUCUACAUCCACUCCUGCUUCCUGCCCUGCUUGAGUUCCAGUCCUGACCUCCUUGGUGAUGAACAGCACUGUGGAAGUGUAAGCUGAAUAAACCCUUUCAUCCCCAAAAAAAAAAAAAAAAAAAAAAAAAAAAAAAAAAAAAAAAAAAAAAAAAAAAAAAAAAAAAA